Molecule: ribosomal RNA, 480 nt
Filed under: uncultured bacterium
Lineage: Bacteria
Description: partial 16S ribosomal RNA
Rfam family: Bacterial small subunit ribosomal RNA
Source: RNAcentral
GACGAACGUUGGCGGCGUGCUUAAUACAUGCGAGUCAACUGAAGCAGUGGUAGCAAUAUCGCUGUGGAGGUGGCGCACGGGUGAGUAACACGUAGGUAAUCUGCCUUCAGGUCUGGCAUAACUCCGGGAAACCGGGGCUAAUAGCAGAUGAUGCAGCGGCUCGACAUCGAGACAGUUGUUAAAGCUAUGGCGCCUGAAGAUGAGCCUGCGUCUGAUUAGCUAGUUGGCGGGUAACGGCCCACCAAGGCAACGAUCAGUAGCUGGUCUGAGAGGAUGAUCAGCCACACUGGAACUGAGACACGGUCCAGACUCCUACGGGAGGCAGCAGUAAGGAAUAUUGCGCAAUGGGAGAAAUCCUGAAGCAGCAACGCCGCGUGAGGGACGAAGGGCUUUUGCUUGUAAACCUCUGUAGUGAGAGAAAAAAAUCCCAAUCUUUGGGACAUGAUGGUAUCUCAAAAGUAAGCCCCGGCUAACUACGUG